UGGGGUUUAGUAUAGGAGAGGAUUCACGCUGGUUUUUUGUGCCAGUGACAAUACUUGCUUUGGUCUACUUGGUCUUUCAAGCAACCCAGU
Molecule: transfer RNA, 90 nt
Filed under: Gammaproteobacteria bacterium
Lineage: Bacteria; Pseudomonadati; Pseudomonadota; Gammaproteobacteria
Description: tRNA-Lys
Source: RNAcentral